RNAcentral lists this long non-coding RNA (2494 nucleotides) under Physcomitrium patens. RNAcentral's name for it is "long non-coding RNA (PPAT_LNC011986)". Lineage: Eukaryota; Viridiplantae; Streptophyta; Bryopsida; Funariales; Funariaceae. The record is from RNAcentral.
GGCGUCGUCUGAUCGGCACCGUUGUGGGUCUCAACACAGUUGGGCGGAGAAUCCCUUGGGAGAAUCUCGGAGGUGAAUGGAGAAUGCAUUCCCAUGGGUCUUUAUGUUUUUGCUUCUAGUUGUUUUUGCCUCCACUGUCUCUCAGGUGACAUGCUUGGUCGCACGUCACUUGGAGGCUUAUACUGAAAUUGGUCUGUCAGUCAGUCGGGCUCUUGAGUAUUCGGCUUCCGACUUGUCUCAUCGCUGGCGAUCGUGUUCGUUGUCGUGGCGAUGAACCAGUGCCGAAAAUCAGUGAUCCAAUGAUUCCCCCGACUGGCACAAGUUGUCUGGAUCCCUUGCUAACUCUUGGACGGAGCAGAAUUCUCUCAGCCCAGUCGUUGUUGUUUUUAGAGUAAUUUUAAAGUGGGAUUUUAUGUAAUUCUUGUACCGAUUAAUGAGCGAGAAGAAGAAAAAAACACAACGGGAUGUGACUAAUGACUAGACCUACUGUUUACACUAAGCUCGAAAAGGUCGAAAUACCCAGUCAUUGGAAUCUGCCACAGGAAUGAAACCUCAAUUACCGGUCAUGAUUUCCGUGGCUCCGUGACCGAAUUUUGUACUUCGCUGGUUUUAGCAACAAAGGCCGGCGACUAGCUUGAGUGCCAAUUCAUCCGUAGCCGGUUCCCUCGACAGGGAUUAAGACAUAUCCCACGUCAUCCUUCACCGCGAGACUAGGCAAAUCUUCACCCUUCACUGUAGGAAUUUUACACAUUUCCAGCUCAUACCCUGGCGAGCACCUUUUUGGAGCAUUGCGGCCGCUGCUCAUCGACAAAUCAUGCUAGGUGGGGAAUUAUCAGAAUAGGGAGAUUAUGUGAGUUAGGUGUGGCGUCUGGCCGCGUUCGUGCCUUUGGAUACCCCACCUUGAGACGUGUUUUCUCAGCAACUGCAUUACCUGUAAUGGCAUAAAAAAGGGAGAGAAGUUUAUGUUUAUUUUUAUUUUUUAUGCCCUUGUUGGUGGGACCCAGUCUAACAAUCGAAGAGUUCUCCCCAAUCUUAUUCUUGCUCUGAUCACGUCAUGUUUUCUUUAGUGUUUUGGUCCCAAAGCAUUUGAGACACUAGGUGUCAACCAUGUUUAUGUGCAGAUCGGCGAUGGAAGGAGGAGGUUCGACCUUGGGAACUGAAAUAUAUAAUCAGCUUCUUCGGCUGCAUGAUGCUCCGCUACCAGGUCAAUUGCCCGGAACCCAUUCCCGACGUCUUCUCAGGGAUUGAAAUUUCCACUGAGACAGAGAAAUUCAAGCUGAUCUUGAAGCAACUUUUAUUCUUUCUCCUCUCAUAAGUUCAAAGGCGAGUUACAACUGUGAGGCAAUGGGUCACCCAUUUUCGCUAACUGAGCCCAUGGACAAAUUGUUCGCACCAUCGUAAACCUCAAUUUGUUCUACAUAUUCUGUCAGACUUUGCGGAGGUAUUCGUGAAUACUUACGUAAAAAAGUGGCUUGUGAAUUAAAUCUGAGUAUAAAACAUCUAUGGCGCCGUCGGUGAUGGUGAGGUAUCAUUUGUUGUAUGAACUGGGAAUGUACUACUCUACUGACUGACCAUUCGCCCCAAGGAUAUGCUUUUCCUGCCUCCCACAAACAUUUUCAAUAAGCAUCUCAGUUUCUUCGUCAAAGCUGCUGCUGCAAAAGCCAUUCUUGACAAAGUUGAAAAAGGUUCUUAGAUCCUGCUGAAAUCGGGGUGAUGGUUGUCGUAUCUGUGGCGAAUUCAAUAACCUUGGUAGACUCGACAGAGUUCUGCGAUUUUCUCUCUCUUGCGCAAUCCAAUUCGAGGAAAUACGUGUAUUUGUCUUAGAGGAGAGUGAUGUGACAGAACUGAUACAGUGUGUCGUGAAUUGCACAAGAGAAAGUCGGACCUUACAGAAAACCUGGGAUUUAACAUCACUUAUGGAAUCCGGAUGUAACAGCUCGUACCUCGAAAAGACAAAACCUAGCAUUUCAUUUUCUAUUGUUAUUUUGUGUAAGAAUGCUGAGUCAAUGUCGGACAUGGAUAUAGUUGAUCCGACUGCCAUGCAUACCAUAAUCAAUGAAAAACGAAAAAGUACACAUAUUUUUUUAAAUAGAGAUGAUAGUUUGACUGUGACCACUAAUUUCAUCUGUGAGGGUCUGUGAACCCGACUGCCUUCUCGACUGACAUUAGCAUCUACAACAUGAUCUCACAAAUCAAUUGGAACUAUAAUUUGCUCUUCCAUGGUACAAUCUUCAAAGUGUGCCCGUAACUCAGGACAGUGUGCCAAUUAGUUCGUUUACAAUUAGAUCGUUGGUUUUCGGAACGACGAGUUUGUACUGCUACAGUGAUAUCUCUUAGUUGCGUUUCCUGGAAUGGUAGAUCCUGACACUUUGGUUCUGUUCAAUUUCGUAAUCUUGCUAAUCCUGACAAGAAUUGCUUCUCUUCUUCCUGGACCCGAAAGCUAAGUGGGCCGUCUUGUAUGACUUUUGUGUGAUGAGUAAGAAAAGCAUUUAGU